This 70-nucleotide transfer RNA is filed under the name Loxodonta africana (African savanna elephant). It matches the Rfam family "tRNA". Rfam says of the family: Transfer RNA (tRNA) molecules are approximately 80 nucleotides in length. Their secondary structure includes four short double-helical elements and three loops (D, anti-codon, and T loops). Lineage: Eukaryota; Metazoa; Chordata; Mammalia; Proboscidea; Elephantidae. The record is from Rfam by way of RNAcentral.
GCCAUGUUAGCUCAGUGGUUAAGAGCUACAGCUUUUAACCAGGAGUUUGGUGGUUCAAAUCCACCAGGCA